RNAcentral lists this long non-coding RNA (402 nucleotides) under Physcomitrium patens. Its description in RNAcentral is "long non-coding RNA (PPAT_LNC010256)". Lineage: Eukaryota; Viridiplantae; Streptophyta; Bryopsida; Funariales; Funariaceae. The record is from RNAcentral.
GGUCGACCGUUUGUGAGAUAUGGUCGAAAUCAGACCUCUAGCCACUAAAAUAAUGGCCUAGGGCAAAAUAGGAUUUCAUUCAAAGAUCGGAGAUUAGAAUUUGAGAGCUAGCUUGAAGUCCUUUCCAAAGACAUAAAAAUUAUUUGAGAGGAUUUUGAAGGACUUAGCAAUUAUUGUUCAAAGUCAGGGCUUGUAUCAGUGAUUUGGAUUUUAUAUAAUAUAAUUAGGACUAGAAAUUUUGGUUAGUUCAUGCAAUUGGCAUGACGUCUAUGGUUGAAAAUUUGAUAUUAUUUGCCAUAUUAGGUGUGCUAAGUGUAUACAAAAUUUUGUGAUAAUCUAACGGUGUGGUUUAGAGAUAUCUAGUUAUUAGCUUAAGAGGAUUUCAAAAGGUGGCAGUUUGAG